AGGCUUCAUGAUGAUGAUGUAUGAGGCAGUACUCAUGAUGUAUGAUGAUGAUGAUCAGGACUCAUGAUGAUGAUGAUGAUCAGGACUCAUGAUGAUGAUGAUGAUGAUCAGGACUCGAUGAUGAUGAUGAGGACUCGAUGAUGAUGAUGAUGAUGAUCAGGACUCAUGGUGAUGAC
This 176-nucleotide long non-coding RNA is filed under the name Cercocebus atys (sooty mangabey). RNAcentral's name for it is "lncRNA (ENSCATG00000045628.1)". Lineage: Eukaryota; Metazoa; Chordata; Mammalia; Primates; Cercopithecidae. The record is from RNAcentral.